UACAGAGGGUGCGAGCGUUAAUCGGAGUUACUGGGCGUAAAGGGCGCGUAGGCGGUUUUGUAGGUGGGAUGUGAAAGCCCUGGGCUUAACCUGGGACGUGCAUACCAAACGCCAAAACUGGAGUAUGGGAGAGGGUGGUGGAAUUUCCGGUGUAGCGGUGAAAUGCGUAGAGAUCGGAAGGAACGCCAGUGGCGAAAGCGACCACCUGGCCCAAUACUGACGCUGAGGCACGAAAGCGUGGGGAGCGAACAGG
RNAcentral lists this ribosomal RNA (253 nucleotides) under uncultured bacterium. Its description in RNAcentral is "partial 16S ribosomal RNA". It matches the Rfam family "Bacterial small subunit ribosomal RNA", at positions 524 to 776 of the family's 1533-position model. The record is from RNAcentral.